CUCAGUGAAAUUGAACUCGCUGUGAAGAUGCAGUGUACCCGCGGCAAGACGGAAAGACCCCGUGAACCUUUACUAUAGCUUGACACUGAACAUUGAGCCUUGAUGUGUAGGAUAGGUGGGAGGCUUGGAAGUGUGGACGCCAGUCUGCAUGGAGCCGACCUUGAAAUACCACCCUUUAAUGUUUGAUGUUCUAACGUUGACCCGUAAUCCGGGUUGCGGACAGUGUCUGGUGGGUAGUUUGACUGGGGCGGUCUCCUCCUAAAGAGUAACGGAGGAGCACGAAGGUUGGCUAAUCCUGGUCGGACAUCAGGAGGUUAGUGCAAUGGCAUAAGCCAGCUUGACUGCGAGCGUGACGGCGCGAGCAGGUGCGAAAGCAGGUCAUAGUGAUCCGGUGGUUCUGAAUGGAAGGGCCAUCGCUCAACGGAUAAAAGGUACUCCGGGGAUAACAGGCUGAUACCGCCCAAGAGUUCAUAUCGACGGCGGUGUUUGGCACCUCGAUGUCGGCUCAUCACAUCCUGGGGCUGAAGUAGGUCCCAAGGGUAUGGCUGUUCGCCAUUUAAAGUGGUACGCGAGCUGGGUUUAGAACGUCGUGAGACAGUUCGGUCCCUAUCUGCCGUGGGCGCUGGAGAACUGAGGGGGGCUGCUCCUAGUACGAGAGGACCGGAGUGGACGCAUCACUGGUGUUCGGGUUGUCAUGCCAAUGGCACUGCCCGGUAGCUAAAUGCGGAAGAGAUAAGUGCUGAAAGCAUCUAAGCACGAAACUUGCCCCGAGAUGAGUUCUCCCUGACUCCUUGAGAGUCCUGAAGGAACGUUGAAGACGACGACGUUGAUAGGCCGGGUGUGUAAG
Molecule: ribosomal RNA, 847 nt
Filed under: Escherichia coli
Lineage: Bacteria; Pseudomonadati; Pseudomonadota; Gammaproteobacteria; Enterobacterales; Enterobacteriaceae
Description: partial 23S ribosomal RNA
Rfam family: Bacterial large subunit ribosomal RNA
Source: RNAcentral